Molecule: ribosomal RNA, 375 nt
Filed under: uncultured fungus
Lineage: Eukaryota; Fungi
Description: eukaryotic LSU rRNA
Rfam family: 5.8S ribosomal RNA (bases 1-125)
Source: RNAcentral
GCAUCGAUGAAGAACGCAGCCAGUUGCGAUAAGUAGUGUGAAUUGCAGAAUUCAGUGAAUCAUCGAAUCUUUGAACGCAAAUUGCGCUUUCUGGAUAUCCAGGGAGCAUGCCUGUCUGAGCGUCGUUUAAUAAUCUACACACCUUGGUGUGGUUAGGGAGCUCAUGCAAUCUCGGUUGCCUGUCUCUUGAUGUAUCUGAACCUGCAGAACACUUGUGUACUGCUUGGAAGGCUCAACUUGCUUCUGUCCUUCUAAAGUAAGUACUGAUAGAAUGUUUUAAUGGUUCUUUGAAUUCUUUGAAUUCACCUCUUGAUUUUUGACCUCAGAUCAGACAAGACUACCCGCUGAAUUUAAGCAUAUCAAUAAGCGGAGGAA